Molecule: ribosomal RNA, 441 nt
Filed under: uncultured bacterium
Lineage: Bacteria
Description: partial 16S ribosomal RNA
Rfam family: Bacterial small subunit ribosomal RNA
Source: RNAcentral
CCUACGGGAGGCAGCAGUGGGGAAUAUUGCACAAUGGGGGAAACCCUGAUGCAGCAACGCCGCGUGGGUGAAGGAGCGUUUCGGCGCGUAAAGCCCUGUCAGCGGGGAAGAAGAAAGACGGUACCCGACCAAGAAGCCCCGGCUAACUACGGGCCAGCAGCCGCGGUAAUACGUGGGGGGCGAGCGUUAUCCGGAAUUACUGGGUGUAAAGGGAGCGUAGACGGCGAGGUAGGCCUGAAGUGGAAGCCCGCGGGCAAAGGGGGGAACUGCUUUGGAAACUGUUUUGCUGGAGUAUGGGAGGGGUGAGAGGAUUUCGUGGUGUAGCGGUGAAAUGCAUAGAUAUCAGGAAGAACACCGGUGGCGAAGGCGGCUUACUAGACCAUGACUGACGUUGAGGCUCGAAAGCGUGGGGAGCGAACAGGAUUAGAUACCCCAGUAGUC